GCUUACGAAAAAUUUGAAAAUUUUGUGUCCCAUAGAUCCAGUGAAGUAUGACUUUGCACUCUUUGGUCUAG
Molecule: transfer RNA, 71 nt
Filed under: Astrosyne radiata
Lineage: Eukaryota; Bacillariophyta; Fragilariophyceae; Cyclophorales; Cyclophoraceae
Source: RNAcentral